Biomphalaria pfeifferi is the source of this 1532-nucleotide non-coding RNA. Lineage: Eukaryota; Metazoa; Mollusca; Gastropoda; Planorbidae. The record is from the annotation of a GenBank genome assembly.
AUAUAUAUAUAUAUAUAUAUAUAUAAUAUUAAUAUAACAAAAAAAGAAUUAAAGAAUAGUGGAAAAUAAAAUCUUGUAAGGAAAAUCAGGGUAGUGUGACAUCAAUUAAAUUAAAGAGGUAAAGAACCAACAGGUGACAAUGUGUUGUCUUAAGCUUUAAUAAAAUAAAAUUAAUGUAAAGGAUAAGGAGUUCAAGUAUUAUAUAAGAAUAUGCUUUAUAUAGGCUUUGUUCCGACAUUUUUACCGUGUUCCGCAAUUGUGACUUCUUAAAAAAUCCUGUUCCGUAAUUGUGACUGACCAUAUCUCAGUCGAUUUGAAUGUUAAAUUUUAAUAUCUGUUGAAAAACUAAACAAUGAGUCUAUUUUUAUCAAAAAAUGGAUUGGCAAUGCCUAGAUACUUUUAGUUUUUCCAUAGGUCUAACCAUUACGGAGCAAAAAAUAGAAAACUAAAAGUAGCUGCAAACUGUUCCAUAAUAGUGACUCUACUCUAUAUUCAAAUUGUAUUCAAAAUAAUGCAUUGCAACUACAAACCUAAACAAGGGCUAAUUAACAUAAAGAGGAGCAAAUUAUCCUAUGAUGAAGAAAUAUAAAAUUGAGAAUUAGAAGAGCUUGCCUAUUCUUUUCGUUGCUUUUGUACAGCGCAUUGUUCGUGCUUAUAGCAUGUUCAGUGCACAUUGAUCUCUUUUCUGGACAUGUGGGAUGGGGUACACAACUUAGCUUGUGUCUAGAGUCACACUCAAGCCUCCUUGAUAGGUAGCUAAGUGGUUUAAGUCACUAAGCCUCACAUCCCUUUAGAAAAAUUUUAUUUUAAAACUAAUCUCAAAAGUUUAGCCAACAUAGCUUUGAAAAUAUGAUGUAGUGGCCCAAUUUUUUUUUUUCUCAUUGUUACUGCCCCUCUCCCUUUUGUUUUCUUCCUCACCAAAAAAAAAAAAGUUAUCUCCAUGACUUCCUCUGAAAUAGCAACAGCAAUAAAAUGUAAAUUUGAAUAUCAUUUUUCUUUUUGCUUUUGUAUUUAAAGUUUAUAUAAGUUUGAUAUUAAAUUUACUUUCCCCUAUAGCUAACCAUUUAGCUUGGCUUUUUGAAACAAAUAAAUGAUAGAGAUCUUCAGACAUGAAAGUCUUUCUUUAAUUCUAAACAUAACACAGAAUUGUGAAGUUUCUUUUUUAAAUAAGAAUUUUUGUAAACCCAUUUUCUUGAAAUAGCCUUUAAUUAUUCCAAUGCCUAUAAAGGUAGAUCUAGUAGGAAAUGGUAAUUAUCAGAAUAAAAUAAAAAGAUAAACAAGGAUAUAAAUAUUUUGUUCUCAUUCUUGAGCCUAAUUGUGAUGGACGAUACCAAAAUUGCAGCUUUUUAACAAUUUUUAUUGAACUCAUUGAAUAAAAUACCUCAUUGUCUUUUUCUGCUCUUUAAUAGAAAGAGGUUUUAAAAAAUGUAUACUUUUUAAAUAAUAUACAAAACACAGCUAUUGAAAAAUGUUUCAACAAAAAUUACUGGCCAAAUUGGAUUAAGAAUUAGCGUUUACACUAGAACAACUAA